UACAGAGGGGGCAAGCGUUGUUCGGAAUUACUGGGCGUAAAGGGCUCGUAGGCGGCCAACUAAGUCAUACGUGAAAUCCCUCAGCUUAACUGGGGAACUGCGUGUGAUACUGGAUGGCUUGGAUGUGGGAGAGGGAUGCGGAAUUCCAGGUGUAGCGGUGAAAUGCGUAGAUAUCUGGAGGAACACCGGUGGCGAAGGCGGCAUCCUGGACCAUUAUUGACGCUGAGGAGCGAAAGCCAGGGGAGCAAACGGG
This 253-nucleotide ribosomal RNA is filed under the name uncultured bacterium. RNAcentral describes it as "partial 16S ribosomal RNA". It matches the Rfam family "Bacterial small subunit ribosomal RNA", at positions 524 to 776 of the family's 1533-position model. The record is from RNAcentral.